Molecule: ribosomal RNA, 253 nt
Filed under: uncultured bacterium
Lineage: Bacteria
Description: partial 16S ribosomal RNA
Rfam family: Bacterial small subunit ribosomal RNA
Source: RNAcentral
UACGUAGGGAGCAAGCGUUGUCCGGAAUCAUUGGGCGUAAAGCGCGCGUAGGUGGCCCUGUAAGUCCGUUGUGAAAGUCAAAGGCUCAACCUUUGAAAGCCGAUGGAUACUGCAGGACUAGAGUACGGAAGAGGCGAGUGGAAUUCCUGGUGUAACGGUGGAAUGCGCAGAUAUCAGGAGGAACACCAAUAGCGAAGGCAGCUCGCUGGGACGUUACUGACACUGAGGCGCGAAAGCGUGGGGAGCGAACAGG